GAUCUUCGGACCUCGUGCUAUUAGAUGAGUCUGCGUCGGAUUAGCUUGUUGGUGAGGUAAUGGCUCACCAAGGCGAACGAUCCGUAGCUGGUCUGAGAGGAUGACCAGCCACACUGGAACUGAGACACGGUCCAGACUCCUACGGGAGGCAGCAGUGGGGAAUAUUGCACAAUUGGGCGCAAGGACCCUGAUGCAGCCAUGCCGCGUGUGUGGAGAAGGCCUUAGGGUUGUAAAGCACUUUCAGCAGUGAGGAAAGGGGUGUCGUUAAUAGCGCCAUCCUGUGACGUUAACUGCAGAAGAAGGACCGGCUAACUCCGUG
RNAcentral lists this ribosomal RNA (319 nucleotides) under uncultured bacterium. RNAcentral's name for it is "bacterial SSU rRNA". It matches the Rfam family "Bacterial small subunit ribosomal RNA", at positions 201 to 507 of the family's 1533-position model. The record is from RNAcentral.